RNAcentral lists this transfer RNA (69 nucleotides) under human gut metagenome. It matches the Rfam family "tRNA". Rfam says of the family: Transfer RNA (tRNA) molecules are approximately 80 nucleotides in length. The record is from RNAcentral.
CGGAUGUAGUUUAGUGGUAAAACUCCAGCCUUCCAAGCUGGAUUCGUCGGUUCAAUUCCGUCCAUCCGC